Molecule: transfer RNA, 73 nt
Filed under: Canis lupus familiaris (dog)
Lineage: Eukaryota; Metazoa; Chordata; Mammalia; Carnivora; Canidae
Also listed under: 1 other name
Rfam family: tRNA
About the family: Transfer RNA (tRNA) molecules are approximately 80 nucleotides in length. Their secondary structure includes four short double-helical elements and three loops (D, anti-codon, and T loops).
Source: Rfam by way of RNAcentral
ACCUGGCUGGCUCAGUCGGUGGAGCAUAGGAUUCUUGAUCUCAGGAUUGUGAGUUCGAGCCCCACAUCGGGUG